CUUGCUUUUUGGAGGGAAUUCCUGCAGUUAAAUUUAGUAGCAGACACGAGCUCAAUAAAAAAAACCAGCAUACUCUCUCUUUAACUGUCGAAGUUGGAAGGAAACAAAGGAGAUUUGACAUCCAUUAUAAAUUUCCAAAGUAAAUACUGCACAAGUCAACCUUCUUUGCAAACAAUAAGGGUAAAGAGCUUCAAUGUACCUUGAGACAACGAAUGAUGACAGGGUUUACACCAGCCAGCAUUUCUCUGCCAAAUUCUUCAUCAGUCCUCCA
This 271-nucleotide unclassified non-coding RNA is filed under the name Hevea brasiliensis (rubber tree). Lineage: Eukaryota; Viridiplantae; Streptophyta; Magnoliopsida; Malpighiales; Euphorbiaceae. The record is from RNAcentral.